UACGGAGGGUGCAAACGUUGCUCGGAAUCAUUGGGCGUAAAGCGCACGUAGGCGGCUCCUCAAGUCGGAUGUGAAAGCCCUGGGCUCAACUCAGGAAGUGCAUCCGAAACUGUGGAGCUUGAAUGCCGGAGGGGCCCAGAGAAUUCCCGGUGUAGAGGUGAAAUUCGUAGAUAUCGGGAGGAAUACCAGUGGCGAAGGCGCUGGGCUGGACGGUCAUUGACGCUGAGGUGCGAAGGCGUGGGGAGCAAACAGG
Molecule: ribosomal RNA, 253 nt
Filed under: uncultured bacterium
Lineage: Bacteria
Description: partial 16S ribosomal RNA
Rfam family: Bacterial small subunit ribosomal RNA
Source: RNAcentral